Long non-coding RNA from Leptidea sinapis, 703 nucleotides. RefSeq lists it as uncharacterized. Lineage: Eukaryota; Metazoa; Arthropoda; Insecta; Lepidoptera; Pieridae. The transcript is spliced from 3 exons. The record is from RefSeq and is a predicted model, not a curated record.
GGAAAAAAUAAAACACCAGUAACUUUUAAAUUGGCAGCACUGUACUUUUAUUAUCUUUGGUACAGUAACAAUCACAACUUAUUAUAAACUAAUGGAAUAAUAUAAGAGACGCGUUCAUUAGAUCUCUUAAUGUAAAUACAGGGCAAGCUGCAAAAAAACCAUAUGUGUUUCAUAAAAACCCAAAAUUUUUACUGAAAUUUACAAAAAAAGCUGAAACUGAUGCCAACAUUGUGCAAGAAACAGAACAGGAGCAUGAAGUGAUCGCUGAUAAUGAUAAUGAACAUUCUGAUAAUGUUGCUAUACAUGAACCAAAGAAGGAGCCGUCAAAAAAUAAAAGGAAAAUAGACAGCAUUGAGGCCGCAAUAUUAAAAGAAAUAUAAGAAAAUAAAACGACCAACUCUGAAAGAGUAUUAACAGAGGACAAGAUAAAAAUUAUAAUAUACUAAUACUUUCAUUUUUUCAAUUAGUGUGUGUUUUCUCCCGCAUUAGGGAGUAAAAUACGAAGUAUAAAAUACACCGUUCUAGUAACGUUACGGAGCUCAAGAUACGUCAACUUCAUCCCGCUAGAAGCAGCUUGAACGCGGCUUCGGUAGCCGAGUUUCUUCGACCCGGGCCAUCCAACAUCUUUGGCCAUACAUACAGGGGAGUACUCACAAACCAAGAGUAAAAGCAGAUAUUAAGUCCCCAUACUCACGACCAUAUA